RNAcentral lists this long non-coding RNA (260 nucleotides) under Homo sapiens (human). Its description in RNAcentral is "HSALNT0302122". The record is from RNAcentral. Lineage: Eukaryota; Metazoa; Chordata; Mammalia; Primates; Hominidae.
GGCACAGAACUGGAAUUGCCCUGGACGGCCACAGCUCUGCAUAUCCCCCAGGAGUGUGGACAAGAAAAAAUAAACACAAUUAGAGUUCACGACAAUGGGCCCCUGAUGGAAGGUAAGCCCGGCUAGCCUCUAAGGGCUGUGCCGGCUCCCACGAACUUCCAAGGCCGAGGACGGUGCCGAGACCCAACUUCCGGUCUCAAGAAAACUUGGCGCUGCAGGAAGACAAUGACAGUACCCUCCACUGAUCUGGGGCAAGAGGA